RNAcentral lists this ribosomal RNA (497 nucleotides) under uncultured bacterium. RNAcentral's name for it is "partial 16S ribosomal RNA". It matches the Rfam family "Bacterial small subunit ribosomal RNA", at positions 28 to 507 of the family's 1533-position model. The record is from RNAcentral.
GAUGAACGCUGGCGGCGUGCCUAAUACAUGCAAGUCGAGCGAACAGACGAGGAGCUUGCUCCUCUGACGUUAGCGGCGGACGGGUGAGUAACACGUGGAUAACCUACCUAUAAGACUGGGAUAACUUCGGGAAACCGGAGCUAAUACCGGAUAAUAUAUUGAACCGCAUGGUUCAAUAGUGAAGGACGGUUUUGCUGUCACUUAUAGAUGGAUCCGCGCCGCAUUAGCUAGUUGGUAAGGUAACGGCUUACCAAGGCGACGAUGCGUAGCCGACCUGAGAGGGUGAUCGGCCACACUGGAACUGAGACACGGUCCAGACUCCUACGGGAGGCAGCAGUAGGGAAUCUUCCGCAAUGGGCGAAAGCCUGACGGAGCAACGCCGCGUGAGUGAUGAAGGUCUUCGGAUCGUAAAACUCUGUUAUUAGGGAAGAACAAAUGUGUAAGUAACUAUGCACAUCUUGACGGUACCUAAUCAGAAAGCCACGGCUAACUACGUG